Molecule: ribosomal RNA, 230 nt
Filed under: uncultured fungus
Lineage: Eukaryota; Fungi
Description: partial 18S ribosomal RNA
Rfam family: Eukaryotic small subunit ribosomal RNA
Source: RNAcentral
AAGAUUAAGCCAUGCAUGUCUAGGUAUAAACACCUUUAUACAGUGAAACUGCAAAUGGCUCAUUAAAUCAGUUAUAGUUUAUUUGAUAGUACCUUACUACUUGGAUAACCGUGGUAAUUCUAGAGCUAAUACAUGCUAAAAAUCCCGACCUCUGGAACGGAUGUAUUUAUUAGAUAAAAACCAAUGCCUUCGGGCUCCUUGGUGAUUCAUGAUAACUUUGCGAAUCGCAU